UCCUACGGGAGGCAGCAGUGGGGAAUAUUGGACAAUGGGCGCAAGCCUGAUCCAGCAAUGCCGCGUGUGUGAAGAAGGCCUGCGGGUUGUAAAGCACUUUAAGCAGGGAGGACGGGUUGCGGGGCUAAUACCCUUGUGACUGACGUACCUGCA
RNAcentral lists this ribosomal RNA (153 nucleotides) under uncultured bacterium. RNAcentral describes it as "partial 16S ribosomal RNA". It matches the Rfam family "Bacterial small subunit ribosomal RNA", at positions 337 to 483 of the family's 1533-position model. The record is from RNAcentral.